GAUGAACGCUGGCGGCGUGCCUAAUACAUGCAAGUCGAGCGAACUGAUUAGAAGCUUGCUUCUGUGACGUUAGCGGCGGACGGGUGAGUAACACGUGGGCAACCUGCCUGUAAGACUGGGAUAACUUCGGGAAACCGAAGCUAAUACCGGAUAGGAUCUUCUCCUUCAUGGGAGAUGAUUGAAAGAUGGUUUCGGCUAUCACUUACAGAUGGGCCCGCGGUGCAUUAGCUAGUUGGUGAGGUAACGGCUCACCAAGGCAACGAUGCAUAGCCGACCUGAGAGGGUGAUCGGCCACACUGGGACUAAGACACGGCCCAGACUCCUACGGGAGGCAGCAGUAGGGAAUCUUCCGCAAUGGACGAAAGUCUGACGGAGCAACGCCGCGUGAGUGAUGAAGGCUUUCGGGUCGUAAAACUCUGUUGUUAGGGAAGAACAAGUACAAGAGUAACUGCUUGUACCUUGACGGUACCUAACCAGAAAGCCACGGCUAACUACGUGCCAGCCGCCGCGGUAA
Molecule: ribosomal RNA, 514 nt
Filed under: uncultured bacterium
Lineage: Bacteria
Description: partial 16S ribosomal RNA
Rfam family: Bacterial small subunit ribosomal RNA
Source: RNAcentral